This 496-nucleotide ribosomal RNA is filed under the name uncultured bacterium. Its description in RNAcentral is "partial 16S ribosomal RNA". It matches the Rfam family "Bacterial small subunit ribosomal RNA", at positions 28 to 507 of the family's 1533-position model. The record is from RNAcentral.
GAUGAACGCUGGCGGCGUGCCUAAUACAUGCAAGUCGAGCGAACAGAUGAGGAGCUUGCUCCUCUGACGUUAGCGGCGGACGGGUGAGUAACACGUGGAUAACCUACCUAUAAGACUGGGAUAACUUCGGGAAACCGGAGCUAAUACCGGAUAAUAUAUUGAACCGCAUGGUUCAAUAGUGAAAGACGGUUUUGCUGUCACUUAUAGAUGGAUCCGCGCCGCAUUAGCUAGUUGGUAAGGUAACGGCUUACCAAGGCAACGAUGCGUAGCCGACCGGAGAGGUGGCUCGCCCCACCUGAACCUGAGACACGACCCCGCCCCUGAGGGGAGGCACAGUAGGGGAACCUCCGCAAAUGGGGGAAAGCUUGCCGAACAACGGCGGGGGGGUUGUGGAGGGUCUCCGAUCCGAAAAACUCGUUUAUAGGGAAAAACAAAUUGUUAAAGUAACAAUGACCGCUUGACGGUACCUUAACAAAAAGCCCCGGCUAACUACGUG